ACGCUGGCGGCAGGCCUAACACAUGCAAGUCGAGCGGUAGAGAGAAGCUUGCUUCUCUUGAGAGCGGCGGACGGGUGAGUAAUGCCUAGGAAUCUGCCUGGUAGUGGGGGAUAACGUUCGGAAACGGACGCUAAUACCGCAUACGUCCUACGGGAGAAAGCAGGGGACCUUCGGGCCUUGCGCUAUCAGAUGAGCCUAGGUCGGAUUAGCUAGUUGGUGGGGUAAUGGCUCACCAAGGCGACGAUCCGUAACUGGUCUGAGAGGAUGAUCAGUCACACUGGAACUGAGACACGGUCCAGACUCCUACGGGAGGCAGCAGUGGGGAAUAUUGGACAAUGGGCGAAAGCCUGAUCCAGCCAUGCCGCGUGUGUGAAGAAGGUCUUCGGAUUGUAAAGCACUUUAAGUUGGGAGGAAGGGCAGUAAAUUAAUACCUUGCUGUUUUGACGUUACCGACAGAAUAAGCACCGGCUAACUCCGUGCCAGCAGCCGCGGUAAUACAGAGGGUGCAAGCGUUAAUCGGAAUUACUGGGCGUAAAGCGCGCGUAGGUGGUUUGUUAAGUUGGAUGUGAAAUCCCCGGGCUCAACCUGGGAACUGCAUUCAAAACUGACUGACUAGAGUGUGGUAGAGGGUGGUGGAAUUUCCUGUGUAGCGGUGAAAUGCGUAGAUAUAGGAAGGAACACCAGUGGCGAAGGCGACCACCUGGACCAACACUGACACUGAGGUGCGAAAGCGUGGGGAGCAAAC
This 745-nucleotide ribosomal RNA is filed under the name uncultured bacterium. RNAcentral's name for it is "bacterial SSU rRNA". It matches the Rfam family "Bacterial small subunit ribosomal RNA", at positions 33 to 773 of the family's 1533-position model. The record is from RNAcentral.